UACGGAGGGGGCUAGCGUUGUUCAGAAUUACUGGGCGUAAAGGGUGCGUAGGUGGUUCUUUAAGUCUGCUGUGAAAUCCCCGGGCUCAACCUGGGAAUGGCAGUGGAUACUGGAGAGCUAGAGUGCGGUAGAGGGUAGUGGAAUUCCCGGUGUAGCAGUGAAAUGCGUAGAGAUCGGGAGGAACACCAGUGGCGAAGGCGGCUACCUGGACCAGCACUGACACUGAAGCACGAAAGCGUGGGGAGCAAACAGG
This 253-nucleotide ribosomal RNA is filed under the name uncultured bacterium. RNAcentral describes it as "partial 16S ribosomal RNA". It matches the Rfam family "Bacterial small subunit ribosomal RNA", at positions 524 to 776 of the family's 1533-position model. The record is from RNAcentral.